UGCCAGCCGCCGCGGUAAUACGGAGGGCGCAAGCGUUGUUCGGAAUUACUGGGCGUAAAGGGCGGGCAGGCGGUCUGUUAAGUCUUUUGUGAAAAUCCGGGGCUCAACCCCGUGAAACGCAGAAGAUACUGGCAGACUUGAGACCAGUAGAGGCUAGCGGAAUUCCUGGUGUAGCGGUGGAAUGCGUAGAUAUCAGGAAGAACACCUGUGGCGAAGGCGGCUAGCUGGGCUGGAUCUGACGCUCAUCCGCGAAAGUGUGGGGAGCAAACAGGAUUAGAUA
RNAcentral lists this ribosomal RNA (280 nucleotides) under uncultured bacterium. RNAcentral describes it as "partial 16S ribosomal RNA". It matches the Rfam family "Bacterial small subunit ribosomal RNA", at positions 506 to 784 of the family's 1533-position model. The record is from RNAcentral.